CACAUCACACACACACAUCACACGCGCAUACACACACACACAUCACAUAUCACCCACAUCACACACACAUUACACACACACACACACAUCACACACAUAUAUAUAUACUAAUCACACACACAUCACACACACACACACACAUCACAUCACACACACAUAGAGAAAUGCACACACACAUCACACUCACAGAGACAGAGACACGCAUCACAUCACACAUAUUACAUACACACACAUCACAUCAUACACACAUUACACACACACACAGACACAAACACACACAGAGAUAGAGACACGCAUCACAUCACACACACACAAAUCAAACACACACACAACAUUACACACACACACAUCACACACACACAC
This 363-nucleotide long non-coding RNA is filed under the name Lathyrus oleraceus (garden pea). RNAcentral's name for it is "Pisum sativum (pea) long non-coding RNA (PSAT_LNC039681)". The record is from RNAcentral. Lineage: Eukaryota; Viridiplantae; Streptophyta; Magnoliopsida; Fabales; Fabaceae.